RNAcentral lists this ribosomal RNA (798 nucleotides) under Phyllodytes wuchereri. Its description in RNAcentral is "partial 16S ribosomal RNA". It matches the Rfam family "Bacterial large subunit ribosomal RNA", at positions 1476 to 2567 of the family's 2925-position model. The record is from RNAcentral. Lineage: Eukaryota; Metazoa; Chordata; Amphibia; Anura; Hylidae.
UUUAUUCUAUUGAGUAAUUCUAUACUGUUAUAGAAUUUAUAAUGUUAAAACUAGUAACAAGAAGAAGACCUUCUCUCAAAUGCAAGUAUAAAUCAGCAAGGACCCACCGCUGAUAAUUAACACACAUGAAAUUAUAUUAGCAACCCCUCAAGAAAACCCUAAUAAAUUUUAUGUUAACCUGACACAAGAGCAUUAAAAGAAAGAUUUAAAAAAAAAGAAGGAACUCGGCAAACAAUAACCCCGCCUGUUUACCAAAAACAUCGCCUCUUGAAUAAUUAUAAGAGGUCCAGCCUGCCCAGUGAUUUAUUUAACGGCCGCGGUAUCUUAACCGCGCGAAGGUAGCAUAAUCAAUUGUUCUUUAAAUGGGGACUUGUAUGAAUGGCACCACGAAGGUUGUACUGUCUCCUUUUUUUAAUCAGUGAAACUAAUCCCCCCGUGAAGAAGCGGGAAUAAAAAUAUAAGACGAGAAGACCCUAUGGAGCUUCAAACUAAAUAACAAGUAUCAUCCCCUUUAAAUUUUUUCAGAAUGAAGGCCUUUAUUUUUAUACUAUAAUUAAUAGUUUUAGGUUGGGGUGACCGCGGAGUAUAAUCCAACCUCCGCACUGAAAGAAUUAACUUCUGAACUAAGAGCUACAACUCUAAGUACCAAUAAAUUGACACCAUUUGACCCAAUAUUUUGACCAACGAACCAAGUUACCCUAGGGAUAACAGCGCAAUCCACUUUAAGAGAUCCUAUCAAAAAGUGGGCUUACGACCUCGAUGUUGGAUCAGGGUAUCCCAGUGGUGCAGCCGCUACUA